This 497-nucleotide ribosomal RNA is filed under the name uncultured bacterium. Its description in RNAcentral is "partial 16S ribosomal RNA". It matches the Rfam family "Bacterial small subunit ribosomal RNA", at positions 28 to 507 of the family's 1533-position model. The record is from RNAcentral.
GAUGAACGCUGGCGGCGUGCCUAAUACAUGCAAGUCGAGCGAACGGACGAGAAGCUUGCUUCUCUGAUGUUAGCGGCGGACGGGUGAGUAACACGUGGAUAACCUACCUAUAAGACUGGGAUAACUUCGGGAAACCGGAGCUAAUACCGGAUAAUAUUUUGAACCGCAUGGUUCAAAAGUGAAAGACGGUCUUGCUGUCACUUAUAGAUGGAUCCGCGCUGCAUUAGCUAGUUGGUAAGGUAACGGCUUACCAAGGCAACGAUGCAUAGCCGACCUGAGAGGAUGAUCGGCCACACUGGAGCUGAGACACGGUCCAGACUCCUACGGGAGGCAGCAGUAGGGAAUCUUCCGCAAUGGGCGAAAGCCUGACGGAGCAACGCCGCGUGAGUGAUGAAGGUCUUCGGAUCGUAAAACUCUGUUAUUAGGGAAGAACAUAUGUGUAAGUAACUGUGCACAGCUUGACGGUACCUAAUCAGAAAGCCACGGCUAACUACGUG